CCUACGGGUGUCAGCAGUGAGGAAUAUUGGUCAAUGGCCGGAAGGCUGAACCAGCCAUGCCGCGUGAAGGUCAGUGCCCUAUGGGCGUUAAACUUCUUUUGUGCGGGAGCAAUAAUGGUCACGUGUGGCCAGACGAGAGUACCGUACGAAUAAGCAUCGGCUAACUCCGUGCCAGCAGCCGCGGUAAUACGGGGGAUGCAAGCGUUAUCCGGAUUUAUUGGGUUUAAAGGGUGCGUAGGCCGCAUGUCAAGCGUGCUGUGAAAUGUCCGGGCUCAACCCGGGCCUUGCAGCGCGAACUGGCGUGCUUGAGUCCGCGGAAAGCAGGCGGAAUUCGUCGUGUAGCGGUGAAAUGCUUAGAUAUGACGAAGAACCCCGAUUGCGAAGGCAGCUUGCUGCAGCGGAACUGACGCUGAUGCUCGAAAGCGCGGGUAUCGAACAGGAUUAGAUACCCCGGUAGUC
Molecule: ribosomal RNA, 459 nt
Filed under: uncultured bacterium
Lineage: Bacteria
Description: partial 16S ribosomal RNA
Rfam family: Bacterial small subunit ribosomal RNA
Source: RNAcentral